This 254-nucleotide ribosomal RNA is filed under the name uncultured bacterium. RNAcentral describes it as "partial 16S ribosomal RNA". It matches the Rfam family "Bacterial small subunit ribosomal RNA", at positions 524 to 776 of the family's 1533-position model. The record is from RNAcentral.
UACGUAGGGCCCGAGCAUUAUCCGGAAUUAUUGGGCGUAAAGAGCGUGUAGGUGGCUCUACAAGUCGGUCGUUAAAUCUCACUGCUCAACAGUGAGGCUGCGAGCGAUACUGUAGGGCUUCGAGGUUUGCAGGGGUGAGCAGAAUUUCUGGAGUAGGGGUGAAAUCCGUUGAUACCAGAAGGAAUACCAAUGGCGAAGGCAGCUCACUGGGCAACACCUGACACUGAGACGCGAAAGCGUGGGGAGCGAACGGG